Molecule: ribosomal RNA, 253 nt
Filed under: uncultured bacterium
Lineage: Bacteria
Description: partial 16S ribosomal RNA
Rfam family: Bacterial small subunit ribosomal RNA
Source: RNAcentral
UACGUAGGGUGCAAGCGUUAAUCGGAAUUACUGGGCGUAAAGCGUGCGCAGGCGGUGAUGUAAGUCAGGCGUGAAAUCCCCGGGCUUAACCUGGGAACUGCAUUUGUGACUGCAUCGCUGGAGUGCGGCAGAGGGGGAUGGAAUUCCGCGUGUAGCAGUGAAAUGCGUAGAUAUGCGGAGGAACACCGAUGGCGAAGGCAAUCCCCUGGGCCUGCACUGACGCUCAUGCACGAAAGCGUGGGGAGCAAACAGG